CAGAUUGACCCUGGAGACUGAAGCCUUUUGGUGAUAUGCAGAGGAGGUACAGCAGAGACAGUGGCAGUGCAAGUUUCCCUCGUUACCUGUCAGUAUCCCUCAACCCUGCCCUGGAAGGACCAUCCCUGGCAGGAAGAAGAGUUCAGCCAUCAUACCCAUUUGAUCCUUGGCCUCU
RNAcentral lists this small RNA (175 nucleotides) under Gopherus agassizii (Agassiz's desert tortoise). RNAcentral describes it as "TUC338 (ENSGAGG00000024851.1)". The record is from RNAcentral. Lineage: Eukaryota; Metazoa; Chordata; Testudines; Testudinidae.